GAUGAACGCUGGCGGCGUGCCUAAUACAUGCAAGUCGAGCGAACGGACGAGAAGCUUGCUUCUCUGAUGUUAGCGGCGGACGGGUGAGUAACACGUGGAUAACCUACCUAUAAGACUGGGAUAACUUCGGGAAACCGGAGCUAAUACCGGAUAAUAUUUUGAACCGCAUGGUUCAAAAGUGAAAGACGGUCUUGCUGUCACUUAUAGAUGGAUCCGCGCUGCAUUAGCUAGUUGGUAAGGUAACGGCUUACCAAGGCAACGAUGCAUAGCCGACCGGAGAGGGGGAUCGGCCACCCUGGAGCUGAGACACGGUCCAGACUCCUACGGGAGGCAGCAGUAGGGAAUCUUCCGCAAUGGGCGAAAGCCUGACGGAGCAACGCCGCGUGAGUGAUGAAGGUCUUCGGAUCGUAAAACUCUGUUAUUAGGGAAGAACAUAUGUGUAAGUAACUGUGCACAUCUUGACGGUACCUAAUCAGAAAGCCACGGCUAACUACGUG
This 497-nucleotide ribosomal RNA is filed under the name uncultured bacterium. RNAcentral's name for it is "partial 16S ribosomal RNA". It matches the Rfam family "Bacterial small subunit ribosomal RNA", at positions 28 to 507 of the family's 1533-position model. The record is from RNAcentral.